UACGUAGGGAGCAAGCGUUGUCCGGAUUUACUGGGCGUAAAGGGCGCGUAGGCGGUCUAUUAAGUGUGAAGUGAAAUCUCCAGGGCUCAACCCGGAAACUGCUUUGCAUACUGAUAGACUGGAGGGACGCAGAGGUUGACAGAAUUCCCGGUGUACCGGUGAAAUGGGUAGAUAUCGGGAGGAAUACCGAUGGCGAAGGCAGUCAACUGGGCGUUUCCUGACGCUGAGGCGCGAAAGCGUGGGUAGCAAACAGG
Molecule: ribosomal RNA, 254 nt
Filed under: uncultured bacterium
Lineage: Bacteria
Description: partial 16S ribosomal RNA
Rfam family: Bacterial small subunit ribosomal RNA
Source: RNAcentral